RNAcentral lists this ribosomal RNA (545 nucleotides) under uncultured bacterium. RNAcentral describes it as "bacterial SSU rRNA". It matches the Rfam family "Bacterial small subunit ribosomal RNA", at positions 335 to 893 of the family's 1533-position model. The record is from RNAcentral.
ACUCCUACGGGAGGCAGCAGUGGGGAAUUUUCCGCAAUGGGCGCAAGCCUGACGGAGCAAGACCGCGUGAGGGAAGAAGGUCUGUGGAUUGUAAACCUCUUUUGAUAGGGAAGAAGACAGUGACGGUACCUAUCGAAUCAGCCUCGGCUAACUCCGUGCCAGCAGCCGCGGUAAUACGGAGGAGGCAAGCGUUAUCCGGAAUUAUUGGGCGUAAAGAGUCCGUAGGUGGGUCACCAAGUCAGUUGUUAAAUAGUGAAGCUUAACUUCAUAGAGGCGACUGAAACUGGUGGUCUAGAGUGUGGUAGGGGUAGAGGGAAUUUCCAGUGUAGCGGUGAAAUGCGUAGAUAUUGGAAAGAACACCGGUGGCGAAAGCGCUCUACUGGGCCUGCACUGACACUGAGGGACGAAAGCUAGGGGAGCGAAAGGGAUUAGAUACCCCUGUAGUCCUAGCCGUAAACGAUGGAUACUAGGCGUUGCCCGUAUCGACCCGGGCAGUGUCGUAGCCAACGCGUUAAGUAUCCCGCCUGGGGAGUACGCUCGCAAGA